AGCAGCCGCGGUAAUUCCAGCUCCAAUAGCGUAUAUUAAAGUUGUUGCAGUUAAAAAGCUCGUAGUUGAACUUCGGGGUCUACCCAUUGGUCAGGCUUAUUGUCUGCACUGGUGAGAUGGAUCUCUACCUUCUGAGGAACUUUCAUGCCAUUUAUUUGGUGUGGUUGGAAAUCAGGACUGUUACUUUGAAAAAAUUAGAGUGUUUAAAGCAGACUAUCGUCUGAAUACAUUAGCAUGGAAUAAUGAAAUAGGACGGACUGAUUCUAUUUCGUUGGUUUCUAGGAUCACCGUAAAUGAUUAAUAGGGAUAGUUGGGGGCAUUAGUAUUCAAUUGUCAGAGGUGAAAUUCUUGGAUUUAUUGAAGACUAAACUACUGCGAAAGCAUUUGCCAAGGAUGUUUUCAUUAAUCAAGAACGAAAGUUAGGGGAUCGAAGACGAUCAGAUACCGUCGUAGUCUUAACCAUAAACUAUGCCGACUAGGGAUCGGACGAAGUUAAUUUUAUAAUGACGCGUUCGGCACC
Molecule: unclassified non-coding RNA, 520 nt
Filed under: uncultured Glomus
Lineage: Eukaryota; Fungi; Glomeromycota; Glomeromycetes; Glomerales; Glomeraceae
Also listed under: 1 other name
Description: SSU rRNA
Rfam family: Eukaryotic small subunit ribosomal RNA
Source: RNAcentral